ACGGAAGGCAGCAGUGAGGAAUAUUGGUCAAUGGGCGGAAGCCUGAACCAGCCAAGUCACGUGAAGGAUGAAGGUAUUAUGUAUUGUAAACUUCUUUAGACGUAGAGAAAUAAGGGUGUCGAGACACCUGAUGCUAGUAUACGUAGAAUAAGGAUCGGCUAACUCCGUGCCAGCAGCCGCGGUAAUACGGAGGAUGCGAGCGUUAUCCGGAUUUAUUGGGUUUAAAGGGAGCGUAGGCGGAAGGUCAAGUCAGCUGUGAAAUGUAGUCGCUCAACGUCUGCACUGCAGUUGAAACUGGCCUCCUUGAGUGCGUAAGAGGCGGGCGGAAUUCGUCGUGUAGCGGUGAAAUGCUUAGAUAUGACGAAGAACUCCGAUUGCGAAGGCAGCUCGCUGGGCCGCAACUGACGCUGAAGCUCGAAGGUGCGGGUAUCAAACAGGAUUAGAUACCCUGGUA
Molecule: ribosomal RNA, 454 nt
Filed under: uncultured Prevotellaceae bacterium
Lineage: Bacteria; Pseudomonadati; Bacteroidota; Bacteroidia; Bacteroidales; Prevotellaceae
Description: bacterial SSU rRNA
Rfam family: Bacterial small subunit ribosomal RNA
Source: RNAcentral